UACGUAGGGUGCAAGCGUUAAUCGGAAUUACUGGGCGUAAAGCGUGCGCAGGCGGUGAUGUAAGACAGGUGUGAAAUCCCCGGGCUUAACCUGGGAACUGCAUUUGUGACUGCAUCGCUGGAGUGCGGCAGAGGGGGAUGGAAUUCCGCGUGUAGCAGUGAAAUGCGUAGAUAUCUGGAGGAAUACCGGUGGCGAAGGCAGGUCUCUGGGCUAUAACUGACGCUCAUGCACGAAAGCGUGGGGAGCAAACAGG
RNAcentral lists this ribosomal RNA (253 nucleotides) under uncultured bacterium. RNAcentral describes it as "partial 16S ribosomal RNA". It matches the Rfam family "Bacterial small subunit ribosomal RNA", at positions 524 to 776 of the family's 1533-position model. The record is from RNAcentral.